RNAcentral lists this long non-coding RNA (582 nucleotides) under Homo sapiens (human). RNAcentral describes it as "novel transcript". Lineage: Eukaryota; Metazoa; Chordata; Mammalia; Primates; Hominidae. The record is from RNAcentral.
GAUGUUUGUCGCCCGCGGGCCCCCGCGCUGCUUCUGCGACCAAGCGUGCGGCGCGGCGCGGCGCGGGACUGCUGCGCAGACUAUACGCGGGUCUGCCCAGGUGCACCCGGGGAAAGCCACUCCCAUCCAGCCAUUCCUGGGUCAUCACUUCCUGUAAAGAUGUCAGUUUCCCUGAGGAAGAUCGGGAAGAUCAUCCUGACUUGCUAAUAUGUGCCAAGUGCCUCACCACAUGACCUGACUCUGUGAGAAAGGAAGAAACUUGGAAGCUGGCCAAGUCUUGCUGUAUUGCCCAAGGCUGGAGGACAGUGAUGCAAUCAUGGCUCCCUGCAGCCUUGAUCUUCUGAGCUCAGUCCCUGCUUUGAUAACCACAGGCAGCUACGGGAAAGAGUGGGAAAAGUGAGAUAGUCCCAAGAAACAGGCAACAGCAGGAUAGCAUCAGCUCUAAAAAUAUCUGAAUUGGAAAUCACAACUAUUUACUUUUAUCAAAAAGCAUUUGUUUUUUUCCCUGAAUUUUCACAUUUGUGCUGAUGGUGGACAUUAAUGGUGAUGAAAACAAAGAAGAGACAUGUGAGAUGGUCGGCG